CGGCGAGUGAAGCGGCAACAGCUCAAAUUUGAAAUCUGGCCCCCCGGCCCGAGUUGUAAUUUGGAGAGGAUGCUUUUGGCGCGGCGCCGUCCGAGUUCCUUGGAACAGGACGCCACAGAGGGUGAGAGCCCCGUACGGACGGACGCCUAGCCUCUACAAAGCUCCUUCGACGAGUCGAGUAGUUUGGGAAUGCUGCUCAAAAUGGGAGGUAAAUUUCUUCUAAAGCUAAAUACCGGCCAGAGACCGAUAGCGCACAAGUAGAGUGAUCGAAAGAUGAAAAGCACUUUGAAAAGAGGGUUAAAAAGUACGUGAAAUUGUUGAAAGGGAAGCGCCUGUGACCAGACUUGCGCCCCGUGGACCAUCCGGCGUUCUCGCCGGUGCACUCUGCGGGGCGCAGGCCAGCAUCGGUUCUCCUAGGGGGAUAAAGGCCGCGGGAACGUAGCUCCUUCGGGAGUGUUAUAGCCCGCGGUGGCAUGCCCCUGGGGGGACCGAGGACCGCGCUUCGGCAAGGAUGCUGGCGUAAUGGUCACCAGCGACCCGUCUUGAAACACGGACCAAGGAGUCAAGCAUUGGGGCGAGUGUAUGGGUGCCAAACCCGCACGCGAAAUGAAAGUAAACGCAGGUGAGAGCUUCGGCGCAUCAUCGACCGAUCCUGAUGUCUUCGGAUGGAUUUGAGUAAGAGCCUUACCGCUUGGACCCGAAAGAUGGUGAACUAUGCCUGAAUAGGGUGAAGCCAGAGGAAACUCUGGUGGAGGCUCGCAGCGGUUCUGACGUGCAAAUCGAUCGUCAAAUUUGGGCAUGGGGGCGAAAGACUAAUCGAACCAU
Molecule: ribosomal RNA, 825 nt
Filed under: Ophiostomataceae sp.
Lineage: Eukaryota; Fungi; Ascomycota; Sordariomycetes; Ophiostomatales; Ophiostomataceae
Description: partial large subunit ribosomal RNA
Rfam family: Eukaryotic large subunit ribosomal RNA
Source: RNAcentral